GGUGGCUCAGUGGUAGAGUGCUUGCCUUGCAUGCAUGAGGCCAGGCCCUGGGUUCGAUUCCUCAGCACCA
RNAcentral lists this transfer RNA (70 nucleotides) under Dipodomys ordii (Ord's kangaroo rat). It matches the Rfam family "tRNA". Rfam says of the family: Transfer RNA (tRNA) molecules are approximately 80 nucleotides in length. Lineage: Eukaryota; Metazoa; Chordata; Mammalia; Rodentia; Heteromyidae. The record is from Rfam by way of RNAcentral.